UUUUAUAGGAUCUCAAAACCUUCACAGACACAUAUGAGUGGAAGCUGCUGAUUGAUAUUGGCUGGCUGGAAGGAAGAGUAUAAUGAGACGUACUCGUUGCACUUGGGAACUUAAUGAAGUCUGCGCAAUGGGAAACAGAAGGGAAUGAUGUCCUCAGAUGAGAAGGUGGGAAAAUCAGGCUGGUGUCAUGCUGAAAGAGCAAUAAACUGGGCAGCAGAGAUGUCAGAUUCUACUGAAAAUAUUAAUCUUUCAGUGACAGAAGAAUGUCUUACAGCAACACCUGAAGUUAAACAGAGCUAUGUAUGCAAGGAACAUCUCUCUUCUUAACAGAGCUGAAAAGCCAACAGAGAAUUACUGGGAGUGCACAAGAUUGUCUGCUGGAGGAAAGGUUGACUAUAUUUGAGAUCUGAGAUAUAGACUAACAGAGAGCUAUCAAGUGGUGUUACAGGCAAGUCUUCAGACAGACUCUCUGACAAAACUUUUUCCCAACUGUUCAGCAACUAUGUGGUUUUCUGCCAAGGCGCAUGAAAUACUUCAUUAUGAAUAAAUGCCUUUAUCUAUUGGCAAAGCUAUUGAGAAUGUAGGUGCGGUUGUGGCACUGUGUGCCACAAGCCAGAAAGGUCUAAGCCCCCGUGAGAGGUGAGGGUGAGGUUGUGUGGAUCUCCCUUCUUACAUGUAUUUCUUGCUGAGCCCUCCAUUUAGAAACCUACUACCUCAGCUUUUCCUGGCCCUUCUCCCUUUGGAAGUCACCACCAGCUAUGUCUCUCCUGUUUUCCUAACUUAUCUCCUGUUUCCUCCUUUUCUGGUUACACGCCUCAUACUACAUAACAGCAUUUUAUCAAAACACAUUUCUAAUUAAUCUGUUCUGGAUCUGAUCCCACCUUAGAGAAAAAGUCCAACUGAUUUAAGUGGGAGGAAGAUCAAUCUUUGUUGUGUUCUUUUCAGUUAAGAAUGUACCAAGGUCUUGUGAGGCUUAAUCAAAGAAAGUGAUUUGUCUUUGACAAUCUCUCCGUCUCUUGUGAGCUUUUAUGAGGCUGUUCAGCUCAUUAAGAGCACCUUAAAAAAUAUUGUUCUUGGAGACUAAAAAAGGCAAAAACAUGAUUAGCUGCAGAUGAGCAAUUUCUUCUAAAAAAUUAGGAAAUUAGAAUCAAGAUUUGGAAAUCUUUUUUUGCCAUGUUACACCAGUAGUUCCUUCUCACUACCCUUGGGAAGGAUUAUGUGAGUGCUGUUGCUUUCAGUCACAUGUUUCAGAGAUGACAACUGAAUACACCAUAAUCAAUCCAAGCAAUACAGACCUCCGUUGCUCUGUCAAGAGAGUCAUGUUCUUUAAUGACAUUUUCCUCUCAAGCACUGGUGUAAGAUAUUGUGCUGAUUUUCCAAAGCUAGAAAACCAGCAGAGAAUGGUUGGGUGUGCACAAGACUGUCUGCUGCAAGAAUGGUUGUGUAGAGACUGUGUGCUGCCUCUGGGUCUGUAUUGUCCUUCAGGGAGAUGUUCAUGACUAGUGAUUUGAAUGAAUAGAAGCAAAAUCAAAAAGUGAAUUGGAAAAAUCUGUUUUCAUUUCUUUUUAUGAUAAUGUCUAUGGUCCCUUUUAAACCUUGUUGUACUUUGUCUUGGGCACUUGUACACGUAAAUUGGGUAUAUCUACUAAAUUAAAGAAGACCAUGGCUGGACCUACGACAUUCCAUAGUGAUGCAGUGUUACCAUGCUCCUUGGAACAGCUUUGCCCCGUAUCAUUUUGCUCUUUUCCAGACAACUAUCAGAAAUGAUUCAAAUAAUAUAACAGAUCAGAGACUGUUCCCCAUAGGCAAUGUGGGUGAGGUCUUGCUUUUUUAACAUGGAAGAAAGAUUUUAACCUUAUGGACAUGAGAUGAAUCACAUCACUUGCCUUCAGGGCCAAGGAACAGUUUCUGGCCUGUUUGCUAUACUUGUGUUGUUCUAUCCUUGUGUAAUAAGAGAAGGGACUUGCCUUUUAAUACUUGUAAUCUCUGCAGAAAAAAAAAAAUCAAAAGGGAAAAAUAAAAGAAAUAUUAUUUUCCAGAUGGUACAGAGAGAUUAAAGACAUGUUUACUUAGUGCAAUGGAGCAUUAUACAGAUAUCCCCAAGUUAGUGCUGACCUGUUUUGGUUCGUGUUCACCACAAAAAGGGAUAGAAUGUCUUUGUUGGCCUGUCAGACUUGAGAAAUUGGCUCAAACCCUAUACAACCCAAAGCCUACUGAGAAAACUGUCAAUAAGAGUAGCAAAAUGACAGUGGACAAGAAACAUAAAAUGAGCGGGAUUUAAAUAUCUAAAUAUUUAGUGUGGCUAUAUUAGGUUUAGUUUCAUCAAAAACCUUUACUAGUACUGAGUAGUCAUUCACGCCAUUUCCUGAUGGCAUUUCUCUGCUUCAGAGCUACAGGUUUUGACAGAAGGAUCACCAGGCUGUAUGAGUCCCAUAAAUCUCCAUAAAUAUUCAUAAAUCAUGUUCAGUUUUAUCUGUUUAAUUAUGAAUUUCUUCACCCUUUUAGGGAUUUGAAAGUUUGUGUCUUGGUUGCAAUGGAAUAUGAAGUCUUUGAGAUGGUAUAGGACAUCUCCUUUUAGUCUUUCUGAAGAUUAAAUAUUUAUGCUCAUUAUGUUCCAGCCCUACUAUAGAAGGAUAUCUACAACCGAGUUAUGUUGAGGUAUCUGAAUUUAGCUUCCCUUUCAAAUGAGUGGAUCGGUUGGCUUUCAGCUUUCCAUGGGACACAUUGAAAGUCUGCUUUUGUCUUCAUAUGCUCAAGAGGCAAAUCUCAUCAUCUACAGGACCAGUCUUCAGGGCUCACACAUUUUAGGAUAUACCAAUUAGUUAGAAACUUGGACCAUGAACUGGAAAGUAACAGGAACACCUGUGAAAAAAUUUCACCCAGUGAAAUUUUCCAGCCUUGUAUUUUUAGGGUAUGAGAGACAUCUUAAGGCCUGGGUACAACUUUUCAUUCUAUAAUGAUAAUUUCAGCAAACUACUGGACCACUUUUUUUUUAUGACCUGGUCCUGUGGUAUUAUGUAAUAUGAAGUUUUUCGUUGGUUUUGCCCCUUUGCCAUGACCACUGGUAGUUUUUCCUAAAAAAAUUGUGACUAAAGACUUGCUCUAUAUCUCGAUUGUCCAGCCAGUGGAAUAUUGUAACUAAAUUUAUCAGCCUUUUAAGUUGUUUUUAAAUUGCCUUUAGCUUGUGAUGUUUCCUUAUCUUGGACAAGAGAAAGGAAAAAGGAAGGAGUCUAUUUCUGCCAUCUCUUUCCUCCUGCAAGAAAACCCCCUCCCCCUUCCCCUCUCUUUGCCUUCCAAAGCUUUUGUUAAUUUAAAAUUAGCCCUUUGAGUUGCUCUUGGGAAAGUCAGGAUCCACGCAGCAACUAAGUCCCAGUGGAGAAGGCUGUUGCAGUAAACAUGGGGCAGAACCUCGGUGAGUCACCUGGCGGGCGUUCCCCCACUGCGUGAGGGAGAGCAGCGUAGGAAGCCCAUAAAGAAACAUGCCACCACCACCGGGGAAUCCAUGCAGGAUACUUCAACGAAAUCAUUUCCCAUCCAAUCUGGGCCUCCUACCAGCUAUUCACUGCAAGCGUCAGUCCAGAUAAGUAAUUAGAGGGCACUAGAUGCCUGGCUCUGAUCUCAUUGCCAUUGUUUGACCAUAGGAAGGAUUCAAAACAAGGCUUGGGGUCAAAAAUAAGUCCUAAAAUGCUUUUUUUAAUAUUCAGAUUUUCUUGCCCCCCCCGCCACCUUUAGGGAAAAAAAAAUAAAAUCUCUUACAGCUAAUUUUUAGUGACACCCACUGGCAAAGGCUCGGUUGUAAUACAUCCAUGGAAGCUCAGGUUUGCUUGUAGAUGCAGGCUUGCCAUGCAUCCAAGCAGUCUGAUCUAUCUAUACUCACGUGCUGCCCAGGCCAGCUAACCAGCAAUACUUGGGAGCGCUGUUGCUUCCAAAAAUACCUAUCCCAGCCUGUCCCAGGAAAGACAUUUCAGGAGGGAUGUGACAGACAAGCCAUUCUUUGAUGAGGAAAAGAAAGCAUAUAGGAUG
Non-coding RNA from Anas platyrhynchos (mallard), 4023 nucleotides. NCBI's taxonomy places the organism in Eukaryota, Metazoa, Chordata, Aves, Anseriformes, Anatidae. The record is from RefSeq and is a predicted model, not a curated record.